UACAGAGGUCUCGAGCGUUGUUCGGAUUCAUUGGGCGUAAAGGGUGCGUAGGUGGCGAUGUAAGUCUGGUGUGAAAUCUCGGAGCUCAACUCCGAAAUUGCAUUGGAUACUGCGUUGCUUGAGGAUUGUAGAGGAGAGUGGAAUUCACGGUGUAGCAGUGAAAUGCGUAGAUAUCGUGAGGAAGACCAGUUGCGAAGGCGACUCUCUGGGCAAUUCCUGACACUGAGGCACGAAGGCCAGGGGAGCAAACGGG
RNAcentral lists this ribosomal RNA (253 nucleotides) under uncultured bacterium. RNAcentral describes it as "partial 16S ribosomal RNA". It matches the Rfam family "Bacterial small subunit ribosomal RNA", at positions 524 to 776 of the family's 1533-position model. The record is from RNAcentral.